UCUACAUCAGAAAAGGUCCAAUGUCC
This 26-nucleotide non-coding RNA is filed under the name Homo sapiens (human). The record is from RNAcentral. Lineage: Eukaryota; Metazoa; Chordata; Mammalia; Primates; Hominidae.